RNAcentral lists this long non-coding RNA (366 nucleotides) under Arabidopsis lyrata. RNAcentral describes it as "long non-coding RNA (ALYR_LNC001537)". The record is from RNAcentral. Lineage: Eukaryota; Viridiplantae; Streptophyta; Magnoliopsida; Brassicales; Brassicaceae.
AGGUUCGCCGGAUUUGUUGCCGCCGACCGGUUUGGGUUAACCGGUCGGUUUAAAUUGAUUUAAUCCGGUUGAAAUCGAUUUGGUCUUGGUUUAGGUUAACCGGUUGGUUUAAAUCAAUUGAUUCUCGGUUUAGGAUAACCGUUCAGUUUAAAUCAAUUGAUUCUCGGUUAAAGUUAACCGGUCGGUUUAAAUCAAUUGAUUUCUGGUUUAAGUUAACCGGAUCGAUUUGACUGGUUGGACCGUUGACCGUUGACUGUUGACCGUUGACUUUGACCGUUGACCGUUGACUUUGACCAGUUGACCCGAAAACCGUUUUUCUUCGUUCGGACGCCGUUUGACUCGAUUUUUCGUUCCGGUUUCAGAUCC